AUUGAACGCUGGCGGCAGGCUUAACACAUGCAAGUCGAGCGGUAACAGGUCCUUCGGGAUGCUGACGAGCGGCGGACGGGUGAGUAAUGCAUAGGAAACUGCCCAGUAGUGGGGAUAGCCCGGGGAAACCCGGAUUAAUACCGCGUACGCCCUUCGGGGAAAGCAGGGGAUCUUCGGACCUUGCGCUAUUGGAUGUGCCUAUGUCGGAUUAGCUAGUUGGUGGGGUAAAGCCUACCAAGGCGACGAUCCGUAGCUGGUCUGAGAGGUGAUCAGCCACAUCGGACUGAGACACGGCCCGAACUCCUACGGGAGGCAGCAGUGGGGAAUAAUUGGACAAUGGGGGCAACCCUGAUCCAGCCAUGCCGCGUGUGUGAAGAAGGC
RNAcentral lists this ribosomal RNA (381 nucleotides) under uncultured bacterium. RNAcentral's name for it is "bacterial SSU rRNA". It matches the Rfam family "Bacterial small subunit ribosomal RNA", at positions 30 to 415 of the family's 1533-position model. The record is from RNAcentral.